This 475-nucleotide long non-coding RNA is filed under the name Mytilus galloprovincialis (Mediterranean mussel). The record is from RNAcentral. Lineage: Eukaryota; Metazoa; Mollusca; Bivalvia; Mytilida; Mytilidae.
AUUUAUAUCCAAUGUACAUCAUGUAUAAAGGUGUCAUAGAAUGCACCUUUAUAUUUAUAUCCAAUGUACAAAAUGUAUAAAGAUGUCAUAGAAUGCAUCUUUAUAUUUAUAUCCAAUGUACACCAUGUAUAAAGGUGUCAUAGAAGGCACCUUUAUAUUUAUAUCCAAUGUACACCAUGUAUGAGGUUGUCAUAGAAUCACCUUUAUAUUUAUAUCCAAAGUACAUCAUGUAUGAAGGUGUCAUAGAAAGCAUCUUUAUAUUUAUAUUCAAUCUUUUAGGCAUGAUAGGAAGGCUAAGAAAAUAAUAAUAAAUUUUCUGAUCAAUUUCAGAAAAAUGAAUGAGGCUUAGAAAAGUUGAAAGGGCUAGGUUUACCAUUUCUUCUAUAGUUUCUUUUCAAAUAUGAAAAAAAAUUAAAAAAUUCUGACAUUGACCUUAUAUUGUUGUUUUACAUAUAUGUAUAUUUGUACAAACGAG